RNAcentral lists this microRNA (21 nucleotides) under Medicago truncatula (barrel medic). Its description in RNAcentral is "mtr-miR160f". Its record names the gene mtr-miR160f. The record is from miRBase by way of RNAcentral. Lineage: Eukaryota; Viridiplantae; Streptophyta; Magnoliopsida; Fabales; Fabaceae.
GCGUGAAGGGAGUCAAGCAGG